RNAcentral lists this ribosomal RNA (253 nucleotides) under uncultured bacterium. RNAcentral's name for it is "partial 16S ribosomal RNA". It matches the Rfam family "Bacterial small subunit ribosomal RNA", at positions 524 to 776 of the family's 1533-position model. The record is from RNAcentral.
GACGGGGGAUGCGAGCGUUAUCCGGAAUUAUUGGGCGUAAAGAGCUUGUAGGCGGUUUGUCGCGUCUGCCGUGAAAAUUCGAGGCUCAACCUCGAACUUGCGGUGGGUACGGGCAGACUAGAGUGUGGUAGGGGAGACUGGAAUUCCUGGUGUAGCGGUGAAAUGCGCAGAUAUCAGGAGGAACACCGAUGGCGAAGGCAGGUCUCUGGGCCACUACUGACGCUGAGAAGCGAAAGCAUGGGGAGCGAACAGG